This 223-nucleotide ribosomal RNA is filed under the name Pestalotiopsis jesteri. RNAcentral describes it as "partial 28S ribosomal RNA". It matches the Rfam family "Eukaryotic large subunit ribosomal RNA", at positions 345 to 574 of the family's 3401-position model. The record is from RNAcentral. Lineage: Eukaryota; Fungi; Ascomycota; Sordariomycetes; Amphisphaeriales; Sporocadaceae.
CAAGUAGAGUGAUCGAAAGAUGAAAAGCAUUUUGAAAAGAGGGUUAAAUAGCACGUGAAAUUGUUGAAAGGGAAGGAUUUGUGACCAGACUUUUUCUGGGCGGAUCAUCCGGGGUUCUCUCCGGUGCACUUUGCCCAGUAAAGGCCAGCAUCGAUUUUCGGCGGCGGAUAAAAGCAGUGGGAAUGUGGCUCUAUACGGGGAGUGUUAUAGCCCAUUGUAUAAU